UGAUUAGAAAAAGAAAGUCAUGAAGAGAUUUGCCAGCAUAAUCACAAUUUUUCACUAUUUCUUUUCAUUCCUGACUAGAUGAGAGAAUGCUACAGAUGGUCAGUUUUUCUCUCUUGCUGAAAUGUAGUUAAAGAAUUUGCAAGAACAGAGCCUGAUAAAAAUGGGCAAGACAGUGCAAAGGCCCAGGGCUAGAUUUUAGAGAUAUCACUCAUGAACAGACGAGGAAAUGGACAGUGGAAAACUUAGGUUUCGGUGGAAGGCUUAUGUGGCCCUAAAUAGUUAAGGCUGUUCCAACAGAGGCUUUAGGCACCCAGUGGAUGAGUUUCACGUAUUCUCUAAAUAGAGUUAGAAUAACCUAUUGAGAGUGGUGAUAGUAGUUAAGAUGUGUGCAAUGAUGUGUCACCCAACAUAGUGUAAUAAGGAUCUAAUCCCAUUUUUGAUAUUUAACGGCUGACAACUCUCAGGCCCACCGUGUCUCCUCUAUUUUUCCUCAACUCUGGGCAAAUUGAUUAAAAUGCCUGGGUGCUCACUUCUCUGGCAUUGAUGAUUUCACCAUGUACACUCCUGCCCUUGAAUGGGAACUUUACCACUGGCCUUACCUGUUGUUGGGAAUCAAAAUACAUGCCAUUUUUCUUUCCUAGCUCUCUCAAGUCAUUCCAGACCUGCUUGGGAGGCCUGCCUUGCUUUCACCAGAAAAGCAUCAGUUCUGAGCUAGAAGACAACACCUCAAAGAAGUAGAGAUGGAGAAGGAAGCCAAACAUAGCCACAGGGAGAAUUCCUGGAUCCUGGAGUUUCUCAUUAGAGACAUCACUGUGUUCCACACUAAAACCCUUUUUACCUCAAUGGAAUCAAAUAAAGAAAAUAUGCUUCUAGAACAGCAUGGAAGAAACUAAAUUUAUUUAUAAAAAUACAUAAAUAAGAUGUCAUCUUUGGAAGAAAGAACACUUACAUGCAUAUUAAAAAAUAAAGUCAAAUCCUGUCUUCCAAAUCAAAAAUCACUCCUUUUGCUGACAGUUUUUGUACUUGGAAUCCUGAUUAACAAUUCUUUUCUUACCUACGGUUGUCAUUUCAAAACACAGAACACCAGAGAAUGUAAAUGUCUGUUUUUGUUAAGAAACAAAUGCUUAUGUCGGUGCUGCCAAAUUCUAGAAAAAUAUCAAGGAAACAAUGUUUUCUUAUACCUUUCUAUGCCCCUUUUGGAAACAAAAUACAAGUAACAAAGAGAGUGGGUUGUUUUUGGAAUUCAUUAUCCAAGCAUGAAGAAUUUAGACGUCAGGAAGCCCUCACAAAUCCUCUCCAUUCUGCCUCAGAACAGAGUUGAAGGACAA
This is a long non-coding RNA of Cercocebus atys (sooty mangabey), 1328 nucleotides long. RefSeq lists it as uncharacterized. The transcript has 3 exons. The record is from RefSeq and is a predicted model, not a curated record. NCBI's taxonomy places the organism in Eukaryota, Metazoa, Chordata, Mammalia, Primates, Cercopithecidae.